CAGCCGUAAACAAUGUGCGUUAGGUGUGUCGGUAACCACGCGUUACUGAUGCGCCGAAGAGAAAUCGUGAAACGCACCACCUGGGAAGUACGGUCGCAAGGCUGAAACUUAAAGGAAUUGGCGGGGGAGCACCACAACAGGUGGAGCCUGCGGUUUAAUUGGAUUCAACACCGUAAAACUCACCAGGGAAGACUGUUACAUGAAGGCCGAGAUGAAGACUCUGCUAGAUCUUCAGAGAGGUGGUGCAUGGCGUCAGUGACU
RNAcentral lists this ribosomal RNA (261 nucleotides) under uncultured archaeon. Its description in RNAcentral is "partial 16S ribosomal RNA". It matches the Rfam family "Archaeal small subunit ribosomal RNA", at positions 748 to 1008 of the family's 1478-position model. The record is from RNAcentral.